CUUCAGAAAUCCAGCAGGGCGGAGUAGUGGAUUCAACGCAUCAGGGUCUGUUGUUUCUUCUCUGCUCACUAUGUCCACAAGAUGUUUCCAAGAUUCGCGUUGGACAGUUAUCCCAGCAUGGGAUAGAAACACUGAGAAACAUAAGGGAGUUUUUGGAUUUGAAGUUCGUUAUAAAGCCAGAUCCAAAGACUCACACAGUAAUUCUUAAAUGUAUCGGUGCUGGCUUGAAGAACCUUUCCAGAAAGCUGUCUUGAAGGUGAUGAGUCCUUGUAUUACUAUAAUUUACCAAUUUUUGUUUGUUACAAGCUCCAAGGACUCAUACUAGAACAUUUUUUAUCAAAUUACUCUAGUUGCUUUUCUGUUAGUAAUUCACAUUGUUGGGCUGCAAUGUAUUAAUCCAAUUGACCAAAUUUUCUUCUAUUGAAGAUUCUUUUUUGGUCACCCUCUUUAAUUAUAUUCAUGAGAAAGUGAUGAGAAAAUUUUCUGGCCAGACCAACCAUGAAGUCAACAUAAUAAUAUACAGAUUUAAA
Molecule: long non-coding RNA, 530 nt
Organism: Neltuma alba
Lineage: Eukaryota; Viridiplantae; Streptophyta; Magnoliopsida; Fabales; Fabaceae
Exons: 2
Source: RefSeq, a predicted model, not a curated record